RNAcentral lists this ribosomal RNA (400 nucleotides) under phytoplankton environmental sample. Its description in RNAcentral is "partial small subunit ribosomal RNA". It matches the Rfam family "Eukaryotic small subunit ribosomal RNA", at positions 587 to 991 of the family's 1831-position model. The record is from RNAcentral.
AGCUCCAAUAGCGUAUAUUAAAGUUGUUGCAGUUAAAAAGCUCGUAGUUGGAUUUCGGGUUGGAGUUGAUGGUCUGCCGCAAGGUAUGUUACUAUUAACUCUGUCCUUCUUCGCAAGGACUUCACAUGUCCUUAAAUGGCUGUGUGUAGGAUUUGCGACGUUUACUUUGAAAAAAUUAGAGUGUUCAAAGCAAGCAUCUUAGCUUGAAUACAUGAGCAUGGAAUAAUGGAACAGGACUUUGGUCCCGUUUUGUUGGUUUCCAGGACUGAAGUAAUGAUUAAGAGGGACAAUUGGGGGCAUUCGUAUUUCGUUGUCAGAGGUGAAAUUCUUGGAUUUACGAAAGACGAACAACUGCGAAAGCAUUUGCCAAGAAUGUUUUCAUUAAUCAAGAACGAAAGUA